CCUACGGGAGGCAGCAGUAAGGAAUAUUGGUCAAUGGAGGCAACUCUGAACCAGCCAUGCCGCGUGCAGGAAGACAGCCCUAUGGGUCGUAAACUGCUUUUAUACGGGAAUAAACUUUGAUUCGUGAAUCAAGCUGAAUGUACCGUAAGAAUAAGGAUCGGCUAACUCCGUGCCAGCAGCCGCGGUAAUACGGAGGAUCCAAGCGUUAUCCGGAUUUAUUGGGUUUAAAGGGAGCGUAGGCGGCCUAUUAAGUCAGGGGUGAAAGACGGUGGCUCAACCAUCGCAGUGCCUUUGAUACUGAUGGGCUUGAAUAUAGUUGAGGUAGGCGGAAUGUGACAAGUAGCGGUGAAAUGCAUAGAUAUGUCACAGAACACCGAUUGCGAAGGCAGCUUACUAAGCUAAUGAUUGACGCUGAGGCUCGAAAGCGUGGGGAUCAAACAGGAUUAGAUACCCUGGUAGUCCACGCCCUAAACGAUGAUAACUCGAUGUUGGUGAUAUACAGUACGAGCGUCCGAACGACGAAAGAACGUUAAGUUAAGUAACUACCGUAGGGUUAGGUUACGUCCGCCGAAGGUAGGAACGACGAAGAAGUUAGAGGCGNGAGAGNGCGAGACGACGACGAGGAGGAGG
Molecule: ribosomal RNA, 630 nt
Filed under: uncultured bacterium
Lineage: Bacteria
Description: bacterial SSU rRNA
Rfam family: Bacterial small subunit ribosomal RNA (bases 1-547)
Source: RNAcentral